GAUGAACGCUGGCGGCGUGCCUAAUACAUGCAAGUCGAGCGAACGGACGAGAAGCUUGCUUCUCUGAUGUUAGCGGCGGACGGGUGAGUAACACGUGGAUAACCUACCUAUAAGACUGGGAUAACUUCGGGAAACCGGAUCUAAUACCGGAUGAUAUUUUGAACCGCAUGGUUCAAAAGUGAAAGACGGUCUUGCUGUCACUUAUAGAUGGAUCCGCGCUGCAUUAGCUAGUUGGUAAGGUAACGGCUUACCAAGGCAACGAUGCACAGCCGACCUGAGAGGGUGAUCGGCCACACUGGAACUGAGACACGGUCCAGACUCCUACGGGAGGCAGCAGUAGGGAAUCUUCCGCAAUGGGCGAAAGCCUGACGGAGCAACGCCGCGUGAGUGAUGAAGGUCUUCGGAUCGUAAAACUCUGUUAUUAGGGAAGAACAUAUGUGUAAGUAACUGUGCACAUCUUGACGGUACCGAAUCAGAAAGCCACGGCUAACUACGUG
RNAcentral lists this ribosomal RNA (497 nucleotides) under uncultured bacterium. Its description in RNAcentral is "partial 16S ribosomal RNA". It matches the Rfam family "Bacterial small subunit ribosomal RNA", at positions 28 to 507 of the family's 1533-position model. The record is from RNAcentral.